GAACUCUCGUUAAGGAACUCGGCAAAAUGACCCCGUAACUUCGGGAGAAGGGGUGCUCUUGAGGGUUAACGCCCAGAAGAGCCGCAGUGAAUAGGCCCAAGCGACUGUUUAUCAAAAACACAUGUCUCUGCUAAACCGUAAGGUGAUGUAUAGGGGCUGACGCCUGCCCGGUGCUGGAAGGUUAAGAGGAGUGGUUAGAUUCUGCGAAGCUACGAAUCGAAGCCCCAGUAAACGG
This 235-nucleotide ribosomal RNA is filed under the name Staphylococcus aureus. RNAcentral's name for it is "partial 23S ribosomal RNA". It matches the Rfam family "Bacterial large subunit ribosomal RNA", at positions 1696 to 1930 of the family's 2925-position model. Lineage: Bacteria; Bacillati; Bacillota; Bacilli; Caryophanales; Staphylococcaceae. The record is from RNAcentral.